ACGUAUUCCUGUUCUCGGUUUAAGAAGAACACAUGGUUGCAAAUAGUCUAGACCUUAGGUACUUAUGGAGCUUGCACAAGGAGGAGCAGGUCGUUGUGGGCAUGGAUCGUGAAUGCUUAAUAAAACACAUAUGACAUUUCAUGCAUUAUUAUUUUAUGUUGGGUUUACUUACAUGCUUCCGCUACUUAAACAAAGUUUGGUUUUGAACAUCAAUCAUGUCGUGAUGAAUUACAUUAUCUACUUUUAUUAUUAAAUGCUAUGUUCGAUA
Molecule: long non-coding RNA, 268 nt
Organism: Helianthus annuus (common sunflower)
Lineage: Eukaryota; Viridiplantae; Streptophyta; Magnoliopsida; Asterales; Asteraceae
Exons: 2
Source: RefSeq, a predicted model, not a curated record